RNAcentral lists this ribosomal RNA (279 nucleotides) under uncultured bacterium. Its description in RNAcentral is "partial 16S ribosomal RNA". It matches the Rfam family "Bacterial small subunit ribosomal RNA", at positions 506 to 784 of the family's 1533-position model. The record is from RNAcentral.
UGCCAGCCGCCGCGGUAACACGUAAGGGGCAAGCGUUGUUCGGAAUUAUUGGGCGUAAAGGGCGCGUAGGCGGCGACACAAGCCUGGUGUGAAAUACUCUGGCUCAACCAGAGAGACGCGCUGGGAACUGUGUUGCUUGAGUCUUGGAGAGAAAACAGGAAUUCCUGGUGGAGGGGUGAAAUCUGUAGAUAUCAGGAAGAACACCAGUGGCGAAGGCGAGCUUCUGGCCAAAGACUGACGCUGAGGCACGAAAGCUAAGGUAGCGAACAGGAUUAGAUA